RNAcentral lists this long non-coding RNA (738 nucleotides) under Cyanistes caeruleus (blue tit). RNAcentral describes it as "lncRNA (ENSCCEG00000019857.1)". The record is from RNAcentral. Lineage: Eukaryota; Metazoa; Chordata; Aves; Passeriformes; Paridae.
AUGCCAGGCACAGUAAAACAAGAUAAGGUUGCUGGCAAGGCUUCUCCAUUAGCUUGGCUAUAUAAAGUUUUGAAGCACACUGGGCCUCCUGCAGGUGUGUCUGCAGGGAGGACUUUCCCAGCUCCUUUGCUGAUUAGUGUGCAGAAGCCCCACUUCCAUCGCAGGGGUCCUCUGAGUGACAAACGUACAGGAGAGAAGGAAUCACUGGAGUCAAACAACAUCUGGAAACAAAUUGUGGAGGAACUGCAGAAAGGGCCUGACAUGGACAUACAGGUUCUGUGGAAGGCAGCAUUUCCUGCAGGCAGCGGUCACUCGUCGGCAGCCUCUGCUGCAGGAAGGAAUGGGAUGGCACACAUGAGUACGGGCCCAGACACAGGAGAUUUGGUUGCUGGGAAGGCUCGUUCCUUAGCCUUGAGAUAUGAAGAUUUGAAGCCCUCUGGGCCACCUGCAGUUACAGGUGUGUCUGCAGAGAGGAUUUCUCCAGCUCCUGGGCUGGAUGCUGCACACAAGCCUGACUCCCAUCCCAGCGUUCCUCCAACAGAAAAGACCAAACACACCUCAGAGAAGAAAUCCCAGGAGCGAUUUGAAGUCAUGUGGAAAAUGCUGAAGGAAUGCUACAGGGAGGACAAGAAGUGGAUGAAGAGGCUGUGCUGAAGGCGGUGUUUCCCGGAGGAAGCAGUGGUUCACUGGCAGCCUCUGCUUAAGGAAGGGAGGCCAUGCCAGGCACAGUCCCAGGAG